Molecule: ribosomal RNA, 495 nt
Filed under: Aerococcus viridans
Lineage: Bacteria; Bacillati; Bacillota; Bacilli; Lactobacillales; Aerococcaceae
Description: bacterial SSU rRNA
Source: RNAcentral
ACGAACGCUGGCGGCAUGCCUAAUACAUGCAAGUCGAGCGAACAGAUGAAGUGCUUGCACUUCUGACGUUAGCGGCGAACGGGUGAGUAACACGUAAGGAAUCUACCUAUAAGCGGGGGAUAACAUUCGGAAACGGGUGCUAAUACCGCAUAAUAUYUUCUUCCGCAUGGAAGAARAUUGAAAGACGGCUCUGCUGUCACUUAUAGAUGACCUUGCGGUGCAUUAGUUAGUUGGUGGGGUAAUGGCCUACCAAGACGAUGAUGCAUAGCCGACCUGAGAGGGUGAUCGGCCACAUUGGGACUGAGACACGGCCCAAACUCCUACGGGAGGCAGCAGUAGGGAAUCUUCCGCAAUGGGCGAAAGCCUGACGGAGCAAUGCCGCGUGAGUGAAGAAGGCCUUCGGGUCGUAAAACUCUGUUAUAAGAGAAGAACAAAUUGUAGAGUAACUGCUACAGUCUUGACGGUAUCUUAUCARAAAGCCACGGCUAACUACGU